CCUACGGGGGGCAGCAGUGGGGAAUAUUGGGCAAUGGGCGCAAGCCUGACCCAGCAACGCCGCGUGAAGGAAGAAGGCUUUCGGGUUGUAAACUUCUUUUGUCAGGGACGAAGCAAGUGACGGUACCUGACGAAUAAGCCACGGCUAACUACGUGCCAGCAGCCGCGGUAAUACGUAGGUGGCAAGCGUUAUCCGGAUUUACUGGGUGUAAAGGGCGUGUAGGCGGGGAAGCAAGUCAGAUGUGAAAACCACGGGCUCAACCUGUGGCCUGCAUUUGAAACUGUUUUUCUUGAGUGCUGGAGAGGCAAUCGGAAUUCCGUGUGUAGCGGUGAAAUGCUUAGAUAUCACGAAGAACUCCGAUUGCGAAGGCAGUUCACUGGACUGCAACUGACACUGAGGCUCGAAAGUGUGGGUAUCAAACAGGAUUAGAUACCCUUGUAGUC
RNAcentral lists this ribosomal RNA (443 nucleotides) under uncultured bacterium. RNAcentral describes it as "partial 16S ribosomal RNA". It matches the Rfam family "Bacterial small subunit ribosomal RNA", at positions 338 to 795 of the family's 1533-position model. The record is from RNAcentral.